AGUGAACGCUGGCGGUAGGCCUAACACAUGCAAGUCGAACGGCAGCACAGUAAGAGCUUGCUCUUACGGGUGGCGAGUGGCGGACGGGUGAGGAAUACAUCGGAAUCUACUUUUUCGUGGGGGAUAACGUAGGGAAACUUACGCUAAUACCGCAUACGACCUACGGGUUAAAGCAGGGGAUCUUCGGACCUUGCGCGAUUGAUUGAGCCGAUGUCGGAUUAGCUAGUUUGCGGGGUAAAGGCCCACCAAGGCGACGAUCCGUAGGUGGUCUGAGAGGAUGAUCAGCCAAACUGGAACUGAGACACGGUCCAGACGACUACGGGAGGCAGCAGUGGGGAAUAUUGGACAAUGGGAGGAAGCAUGAUCCAGCAAUACCGCGUGGGUGAAGAAGGCCUUCGGGUUGUAAAGCCCUUUUGUUGGGAAAGAAAAGCAGCAGGUUAAUACCCCGAUGUUCUGACGGUACCCAAAGAAUAAGCACCGGCUAACUUCGUG
Molecule: ribosomal RNA, 492 nt
Filed under: uncultured bacterium
Lineage: Bacteria
Description: partial 16S ribosomal RNA
Rfam family: Bacterial small subunit ribosomal RNA
Source: RNAcentral